GACGAACGCUGGCGGCGCGCCUAACACAUGCAAGUCGAACGAGCGAGAGAGAGCUUGCUUUCUUGAGCGAGUGGCGAACGGGUGAGUAACGCGUGAGGAACCUGCCUCAAAGAGGGGGACAACAGUUGGAAACGACUGCUAAUACCGCAUAAGCCCACGGUGCCGCAUGGCACAGAGGGAAAAGGAGCAAUCCGCUUUGAGAUGGCCUCGCGUCCGAUUAGCUAGUUGGCGAGGUAACGGCCCACCAAGGCGACGAUCGGUAGCCGGACUGAGAGGUUGAACGGCCACAUUGGGACUGAGACACGGCCCAGACUCCUACGGGAGGCAGCAGUGGGGAAUAUUGCACAAUGGGGGAAACCCUGAUGCAGCGACGCCGCGUGGAGGAAGAAGGUCUUCGGAUUGUAAACUCCUGUUGUUGGGGAAGAUAAUGACGGUACCCAACAAGGAAGUGACGGCUAACUACGUG
RNAcentral lists this ribosomal RNA (466 nucleotides) under uncultured bacterium. RNAcentral's name for it is "partial 16S ribosomal RNA". It matches the Rfam family "Bacterial small subunit ribosomal RNA", at positions 28 to 507 of the family's 1533-position model. The record is from RNAcentral.